UCCAAACUGUUGGUUAAUUUCUCCAUUCUCGGUGGCUAUGUUGUCAGGCCAAGCUGCAAGGAUGUGAACUCCCGGAGCAGCAACAUCCGGCUUCGAGCAUGGAACAAGAAAAGAAAGCAGAGAACAAAGGUCCUCUUGCUGAGAAAUACGGAAUGACUGGUGCGCUUGAAGUUGGCAGUCCUUGGCUGGGCUGAGAAAAUUCCAAGUAAACAUGCUGAAAUUUUUUUCAAAGUGAAAAGCUUGCUACUAUACCGAUUCUGAUGUCAAA
Selaginella moellendorffii is the source of this 268-nucleotide long non-coding RNA. RefSeq lists it as uncharacterized. The record is from RefSeq and is a predicted model, not a curated record. The transcript is spliced from 2 exons. NCBI's taxonomy places the organism in Eukaryota, Viridiplantae, Streptophyta, Lycopodiopsida, Selaginellales, Selaginellaceae.